Long non-coding RNA from Peromyscus californicus insignis, 1362 nucleotides. RefSeq lists it as uncharacterized. NCBI's taxonomy places the organism in Eukaryota, Metazoa, Chordata, Mammalia, Rodentia, Cricetidae. The transcript is spliced from 3 exons. The record is from RefSeq and is a predicted model, not a curated record.
CAAAAUGUCUGUGCUCUAAAGUAAGUGAAAGUGACGUGAAAACUAGGAUCCCUCAAAAAUUGCCUGACGCAACUCUUAACCAGAAAGUUCAAAAGAGGCAGGGCUGUGCAAUCAAAAUGGCAAAUCAAAUUCGAAGUUCAAAAUUACACGAGGAAAGAGGAAGGCAGUCUUCAAAGAAUAAAAUUUCCCAAUCCAAGCGGCUGACUAUACCUCGAUCCUGUGAACUUUCGCUAACCUUGGACAGGACUACACAGGAACAGGUGUGAAGACACCCUCAUUCUAGGGGCAUACCUGCUGCAGCCACUGCUGGGUACAUACAGCAAGGGGUCCUCGACCCAAUGGCAGUCUCAGCCUUCUGGAUGACGCACCUGGCUAGGGUCUUCUCCCACGUUUGGAUGGCAAAGCCAGCAUCCCCAGCCUACCCUCGCUGGAGGGGACAGGGAAAAGGGCAAGUCGGGGCUGAAUCCUCGCGCUGGACUUCCCGGCUUUCCACCCAUUUCCAGCACAUUGCUUAGGACUGGGAGCGCUCUCUCCUUCACCUCCUACCCUGAGGUCCUGCGCACUUAAAAGGUCGCUCAAAGGCAAGCGAAUCAAGCGCCUCCUGGCCUUGCAGGGCUCAGGUCAGAACUUGUGUGUCAGCCUUCCCUUAGGGAUCUGUUCCUGUUUUGCACUUCAAAGGCCCAUCUGGCAGAUAUCAAAGACUCACGCUAUGCCAUUAAAAAAGGAUUGGAAAGAGAAGAUACCGAAGAUACCAACACUCUAUUUGCCACGUGAGAAGGAAGAAACCCAGCUCCUCACCAUCAGAUGACAAUACCUAUUUUUUUUUGGUGUAGAUAUAUACAUUUUAAAACAUAAUUACAUAAACUAUAUGUAUGUUUACAUAUAAUUUAAAAGAGAUUUUUAAGCAUAUAGGACUUUCUGUAGAUUUUCGAAGAUGAGAAAGAUCUCCUCCAUUGCUGGUUUGCUGGGAGCUUUUUUUAGGAAUGUGUUUCAGACAUUGCUAAAUUCUCUGUCUUCAUAUAUGAUAUGCUCAGGGGGCUUUUUUAGGUUUUCUUGUGGUGGUAGAAUGCAAGGAUUGGCCUUUGAACAUUAUGGCCUUAUAGGUUUAUACUUCAUCCUGGUAUUGAUUUAAACAAAUUGUGAGAUGUUACUUACCAGUGUUAAACUGGAGAUUUUUGUAUCCAUAUCACUAACAAGUAGUGGCUGGUUUUCAUUUCUUGUAAUGUUUCUAUCUGAUUUGAGUUCUGAUAUAAUAUCAGCCUUUUGUAAUAAGUAGGUGAAUGGUCUGUACACUUUAGUCACUGAAAGAGAGUGUGUAGUAGUGGCAUCACAUCUUUAUCUCUUCAUUAAGCAUUUGGUAGG